RNAcentral lists this ribosomal RNA (450 nucleotides) under uncultured Anaerolineaceae bacterium. RNAcentral describes it as "bacterial SSU rRNA". It matches the Rfam family "Bacterial small subunit ribosomal RNA", at positions 923 to 1382 of the family's 1533-position model. Lineage: Bacteria; Bacillati; Chloroflexota; Anaerolineae; Anaerolineales; Anaerolineaceae. The record is from RNAcentral.
GCACAAGCAGCGGUAGCGUGUGGUUUAAUUCGUUGCUACACGAAGAACCUUACCUGGGUUUGACAUAUAGGUUGUAGGGAACUGAAAAGGGACCGGACCCUUCGGGGAGCCUAUACAGGUGUUGCAUGGCUGUCGUCAGCUCGUGUCGUGAGAUGUUCGGUUAAGUCCGCUAACGAGCGCAACCCUUCGUCGUAUGUUAUAUGUGUCAUACGAGACUGCCGGUAAAAAGCCGGAGGAAGGUGAGGAUGAUGUCAAGUCAGCAUGACCUUUAUAUCCAGGGCUACACACACGCUACAAUGGUCUGUACAAUGGGUAGCCAAGCCGCGAGGUGGAGCGAAUCCCAGAAAGCCGGUCUCAGUUCGGAUUGGGGUCUGCAACUCGACCCCAUGAAGUCGGAGUCGCUAGUAAUCGCAGAUCAGCAACGCUGCGGUGAAUACGUUCCCGGGCCUU